GUGGGGAAUUUUGCGCAAUGGACGAAAGUCUGACGCAGCGACGCCGCGUGAGUGAAGAAGGCCUGCGGGUUGUAAAGCUCUGUCGAGAGGGACGAAAACCCCCUGGAAUAAUACCCAGGGGCUUGACGGUACCUCUAAAGGAAGCACCGGCCAACUCCGUGCCAGCAGCCGCGGUAAUACGGAGGGUGCAAGCGUUGCUCGGAAUCAUUGGGCGUAAAGGGGAGGUAGGCGGUCUCGCGUGUCUGGGGUGAAAGCCCAGGGCUUAACCUUGGAAGUGCCUCAUAAACUGCGAGACUGGAGUCCCAGAGAGGGUCGUGGAAUUCCCGGUGUAGCGGUGAAAUGCGUAGAGAUCGGGAGGAACACCAGAGGCGAAGGCGGCGACCUGGAUGGGUACUGACGCUAAACUCCGAAAGCGUGGGGAGCAAACAGGAUUAGAUACCCCAGUAGUCC
Molecule: ribosomal RNA, 450 nt
Filed under: uncultured bacterium
Lineage: Bacteria
Description: bacterial SSU rRNA
Rfam family: Bacterial small subunit ribosomal RNA
Source: RNAcentral